GUUAGAGACAGGUAGCCUAGUGGUUAGAGACAGGUAGUCUAGUGGUUAGAGACAGGUAGCCUAGUGGUUAGAGACAGGUAGCCUAGUGGUUAGAGACAGGUAGCCUAGUGGUUAGAGGCAGGUAGCCUAGUGGUUAGAGGCAGGUAGCCUAGUGGUUAGAGACAGGUAGCCUAGUGGUUAGAGGCAGGUAGCCUAGUGGUUAGAGGCAGGUAGCCUAGUGGUUAGAGACAGGUAGCCUAGUGGUUAGAGACAGGUAGCCUAGUGGUUAGAGACAGGUAGCCUAGUGGUUAGAGGCAGGUAGCCUAGUGGUUAGAGACAGGUAGCCUAGUGGUUAGAGGCAGGUAGCCUAGUGGUUAGAGGCAGGUAGCCUAGUGGUUAGAGGCAGGUAGCCUAGUGGUUAGAGGCAGGUAGCCUAGUGGUUAGAGACAGGUAGCCUAGUGGUUAGAGACAGGUAGCCUAGUGGUUAGAGGCAGGUAGCCUAGUGGUUAGAGACAGGUAGCCUAGUGGUUAGAGACAGGUAGCCUAGUGGUUAGAGACAGGUAGCCUAGUGGUUAGAGACAGGUAGCCUAGUGGUUAGAGACAGGUAGCCUAGUGGUUAGAGACAGGUAGUCUAGUGGUUAGAGACAGGUAGUCUAGUG
This is a long non-coding RNA of Oncorhynchus keta (chum salmon), 638 nucleotides long. RefSeq lists it as uncharacterized. Lineage: Eukaryota; Metazoa; Chordata; Actinopteri; Salmoniformes; Salmonidae. The record is from RefSeq and is a predicted model, not a curated record. The transcript has 3 exons.